Molecule: long non-coding RNA, 401 nt
Filed under: Homo sapiens (human)
Lineage: Eukaryota; Metazoa; Chordata; Mammalia; Primates; Hominidae
Description: HSALNT0135175
Source: RNAcentral
GUUGCACGCUGAGCCGCGGACACCAUGCAGUCGGAUGAUUUAUCUGGGAUACACUAGGAAACAAGCAAUUUUGUUCCUUCAAAAUAAGACCAAGACUCAGAGCUUCUGCCGAAAUGAAUAUAGCCUGACUGGACUGUGUAAUCGGUCAUCCUGUCCCCUGGCAAAUAGUCAGUAUGCCACUAUUAAAGAAGAGAAAGACAGUGCUACUUGUAUAUGAAGGUUAUAGAACGAGCGGCUUUUCCUCGGCGUCUCUGGGAACGGUCCGGCUUAGUAAAAACUAUGAGAAAGCACUGGAGCAAAUAGAUGAAAAUCUGAUUUACUGGCCCCGUUUCAUUCGACACAAAUGUAAGCAGAGAUUCACCAAGAUCACCCAAUACCUAAUUCGAAUUAGAAAACUUACA